UGUCAAAAUUGUGUGCUCAUUGCACUAAAACCAUUGGGGAUCUAGGGAACCACAAGAGCUUUUAAAAUGGCAGCUAAGGUCUGGGGAAACCCUUCAUGUUUAGAAACUGGCUAAAGCUUGAUUUCUCUUAUCUUUUGGUUAAGGGCACCACUUUCAGAUAAAAACAGAGACCUGAAUGGCAUCAUCCAGUAUCCAAGGAAACCAUGAUUAAAAUGUUAGCUAGGAGAGACCAGAGCAGCGCAUAGUCUACCUCAUUUCCCACUACUGAGGAUUUACCUAAUUGCAUAUGAAUUAAGAGAUUUUCCAUUCUGACUGGUGACAAAAGGCCUAUUUCCAGCCCUAGGAAGGUGCCAGGAUUGUCAUGAGGAUUGAAUGAGAUAAUAUAUGUUAAAUGCUUAGAAGAGUUCAUGGAAUGAGGAUUUGUGUUUUCCUAUCAUCAUGCUCCUUUCCAGCCAAUGAAUUAUGUACUAUGAAGAUAUUCCAAACAACGGAGCCCUUCCCAUGCCAUAAAGUGAAGUAAAAUGGACCAUCAUUACAUCACAUUGAAGUUUAGAGAUCGCUGUCUAGCAUGCAGGAAGGACAGCAUCACGGUCUUUUUCUUCUUCAUCACUUGUAAGGCCAUCAAGGGGAGGCAUGAUGGUGGAAAGACAAUUUUCCUGGAUGCUAUGAAAGUUCCAUGAGACAUAAAGGGAACAAGGGCCAGAUGGCACGCAGACAUGUGCUUGAGACUGGAACUCUUCUUGACGUCAGUGGGGAACCUAGGCAGAGGAGAGAAUAAUGCUUAGCUUGGCUUCACAGUCCAUUUUGGGAAAAGCGUCUGGCCUCCUUGAGAUGGAACUUCCGUUGGAUGGACCCCUGCUCAUUUCCUACAGACAGUGGAGUCUAUGCAUAGUAUUUAAUGCAACCACCAGUACAGGAUGAUAUACUUGCUCUACCACCCAAAUAUAUUGACUUUCUGUUAAAAGGCUUUUAACAUAAAUUUUAAGAGAUUAACAAAAUACAUCAUAGGCUAUUGCUGAGAAUGCAGGGUUUUUAACUACGUUUUUCUUACAUUGAUUUUAGUUCAUAUAUUUUAACCACUCCCUUAUUUUACUGUACCUUUUAAUUUGUUAUUUAUUUGUUUGAAACCAGAACUCUGCCAAGGCACUCUGGACCCACAGGAACUGAAAUAGUUUGCCUUCAUUAUCUGGUAGACCUGCUCGAGUCUGUAGCCCCUGACAGAAACCACAAGACUGUACAAACUGGCAACUGUGGGUUUGUCUGUUCUCUAUUGAUUCUAUUUCUGGAAAAAAAAACAUGAACCAAUGGGUGAGCCAUGUGACUGUACAACUGACCCAAAGCUACCAUCAGAAGUGGGAUGGAGACCUUUAGAGACAGGUCAUGAUGAGACCUCAACACUUUCCUGUCUGCUUCUUAAGCAUGGCUUUCAGUAGCUUUGACUUGAAACUUAACUCCCUGUGUUCUGAUGUAUGAAACUGGAGGAGAAUCUUCAUAUUCUAUAGCUUUUUAUUUAAAUUUGGGAGGCCAUAGGUCAAAAUGUUCCAGACAUCUAAUAAUAUGUGUAAAAGACCAGAUAUUUUAACUUAUAAAAUAUCUUAGUUUUUUCCUCCAUGUAAAUUGCAAAGCAACUCCAUCAGAAGACUUGAACACACACACACACACACACACACACACACACAUACUUUUCAGACUAUGAAACUGCAACUGCUGUAGUGUUUCCUUUUCUCGAGCUUUGGUAUUUGUGCUCAGUACUGAUACUUAGGUAAAUAGAAUGUAGGACUUCUAUGUAAUAGGGCCAAAUGUAAAAGUUCUGGUCUUGGCUCUAAUAUGCUAUGUGUCUUUGGUCUUCUCUCUUCUUCAUCAACUGUCAAAAGACUAAAUGAUCACUGAUGUCUGUUCUAAUUCUAAGAUUCAAAGUGAACAAGAAUCUUUGAUAGCACGAGACAGAUCUAGGUAGUAGAGAACACAGGUAUGGGAGAACAUGUCCUAUUAAACACACACGUGCAUGGGUGCACGCACACACACACACACACACACUCAACAGAAAAACCAAAAUAGCUCCCCUCUCUUCCUCCCCCAAUAAUGACAAUGCAGCCAUCUGUUGGAAGUUCCAUUUUGCUUAGCAGCUGCUCUCAGAUACAGAAAUCUGCAUUCCUCCGGCUUGUGCUGGUAUGCAGGCAGCAUGUGUGGGUACUAGCAUUUGACUCUCCACCCAAAGGAAUGGCUUUCAUUGAAUAAAAAUGAUUGCAGAGAUUUCUUAUUCCCCCAUUACACAAAUGCUUUUUUUCCCCUGAUAAUAGGCAUUUGGAGCCAUCUCUACUACUCUGUAUAUUAAAAUAUACCCUGUUAGAGAUAUUCAUAUCAGGUAAUCAUCUAAAAUUGAAGAGGACAACCAGGAAAGGCUCCAGUGAAACUCUGCCUUGCCAGAAACUUCUACUUUGAAGGAAAGUGGGAGAGGUUGGAAUAUAAACUUCCAUUCUAGUUUUAUUUUGUCCACACCCCCAGCAUUGCACUUAAGCACUGAGCAAUGAGUAUUGUUCAAAACAAAACUAGGAAGCUUUCAAAAGUAGCAUUAAUCUUGACAUCAAACUAAAUGAAAAUAUAUAAGAGAAAUAUUCAAAAGGGACAUGGAAGUAAAGUCCUUUAAAUAUUCCAUCUCCCUGCUGCUCCCAGCCCAAGCCUCUUCUACAGGCUGAAAUUUUGUCUUCUGUGUGGUAUAUUAUAUAAAGUGGUAUAUCAUUAAAAAAAGCAGCAAUUGAGUUGGGGGUUGGGAGGAGCCGCAGUUACAAACAACAACAAGAAAGUGUCCUACAGGCUCUGUAGAUGAGAACCUUGGGUAAAAUUGGAUCUGCUUUUGAGUACAUAAUUUAGGACAUUUGUUACAAGAUUACUGUGGUUUUCUAUAAAUGUUAGUUUGCUGUAUUAUUUUCCAUGAACUAGUUUUCCAAAAUGCAGAAUAUUUUGCCCCCAAAACAUGGAAGCACUAAAGCUCGAUGAGGCACUGAUUCAUGGGGUGUCACCCAGAAACAGCUGGUCAGCCAUCUGCAGCCCCAGAGUCCUCUUAUUUUUACUUUAUUCAGCUAAUUCUUUAUGUAGAGGGGGAAGAAGAUGCAUAAAUCCUGGGAGAAGAGCAUGGCUCGUUUAAGAAAAUGAUGACUAACGCCUGCCCGAGACUGAUAUCUGGUGGCCUGAUGUGCUGAUUUGGAGGGGUCCGUUUCCUAUGUGCAUUAGGCUUUCAGCUCUCUACUACAUGUGCAUUAUUUGCUGUGUAUCCUGUUCUUUUGGAAAAGGAAAGAAAUGAUGAUAUGCCAUUGAUUGUUUCAUGGGAAUGGUUCCAGAAUAGAGCACCCUUGAGAGCCAUAACCGGUCUUUUCAAAGCAGGCAGAAGAGCCUGCAAAAUCAAGGACAAGCCUGGAAGUUAGACCUGUAUGUUUGUCCGUGGAUCCCUCAAGUGUUUCUAAAUUAGACCUUUUAACUACCUUGAAUUCUGUGGUCAAAAAAUGUUGGAGGUAAAGACAGUAUUUGACACAAAUUAAAAGAUAUAUUAUGAUUCAAAGCCAGAAUUAUGUUAAAUGCGCAGUAAAUAUUUAGGCAGUGCUGUUUUAUUUUAAAUUUGACAUAGCUGUAGUAAAGUUGUGAAUCAUUCAAUUAGAAUAGCCUUUUGCUUCCCUGAACGGGAAGGGGCCUUGCUGACAGGAGGUAGAUUGUUGUUAUCCCUUCCUUGCGCUACUUAAGGCAGUUCAUUCAGAUGACAGAGCCAAAUGACUGUGUGGGAAGCAAACCUUCCAAUCAUAGGAAGGAGGCUUCUAGGUGCACAGGUGUAUGCUGCUUACGGGUAGGCAUAAUUAUAGUUUAAUCAAAUCCUUGUGUGUCUCAGGAGACCAUUUUUGGCAUACCUUUUAAUAUUUUUCUUGAAUCAUCAAAAUCUUCUCCCCAUUCUCCCCAUAUGUAUUGGUAUGUGUACACACACACACACUUCUUCCUUAUUUUAUUUAUUUAUCUUGGCUUAUGAUCACAAAGGUUUUUAGUUUCUUUCAUGCCUUACAUAGCAACUGUAGAAGAUGAAUCAUUUUAUUUUUACAGUUAAAAGGUAGGGAAGAUAAACUUUAAUUGCUACAUUUAACCUGUGUAGCAUUAUUAAACUUAACAUAAUUUAUUGAUCUACUCUAAUAUUUCUGGUUGUGUAAUACUGAAAAGCUGCCAUGACAAUUGACUAGAACAAAAGGGAAAUGCACCUUUAACUGAUAAGACAGACAAUUUUUGUAAAAGAAUUGGAAAACCAUCUGUACUGUAAACUUUUGUGUCUCUUUUUCAUUCCUGUUUACUCUGCUAUUCAAUCCAAAUAAAGAUUGUUUUCACCUCAGCAACAAAAAAAUCACAUGGACGAUCCUUCAGGCUGUCAGUCAGAAGAGAGAUAUACAUAUGCCCAAAGUAUACACUUGUGCUUCUUCUCGGUGUUAUUUGGGGAAAAUAUGUUACAUGUUCUCCUGGCUCUCCUAGUUUUACAUUUUGAAUUAAUGCAAUUUAUUCUAAUUUAUGACAACUGUUUGAAAGGCUUGCUCUCCAUUUUCCAGCUUAUAAAAAGGUUGUUUAGUUAGAGGGGGGAAAGCAGUAGGGAAAGUAGAUUGCCUUGCACAUUCAGGUGGAAAAAGCAAAUGGGCUCCCCAUCUCGGAGUCAGUGAUAUGCACGAGGGUUGAGAUUGUAAGCACAUCUGUUGUAAAAACUUUUUCUGCCCCCUUGGAAAUGGGAUUGAAAUUAUGGAGAACCUUUCUUCUGCUUUUUAAAGAAAGCCUUAUACAAUUGAGUUAAUUACCUCCUCCUCUUCUCUUGUUCUCUCUUCUUGUAUUUAUACAGCAGCCAUCACCAUAGUACCCUACACACGUUGAUAAGAAUGCCAUUUGAGACAAAAUAAAAAUAAAAAAGUAAGAAGAAGGAAAAAAGGCACAUGGUAGAAAAGAAAGAUUAUUUCUUGUCAUAGUCCAAGAAUCCUCUUAAGGUUCAAAACCAAUAAAAUAGAUUGGCCCCGUUGUAGCUAGAACAGUCUCAACCAUAGUGGGUAUUUAAGGACUAUUUUUCAGUUGGUGUUAAUAGAAUCCAUUAUUCUGUCAUUGUUUAAAAACAAAGUCUCGUCCCAGUAUACUCUAUCCUGCCUUCAUGCUUCCUAGAAGGGCUCUGUUUUGAAAGGAUCUCUUGCUAGAGAAGAAGCUGAGCAGAAAGAGAAUGACAGGGAGCACGUGUAGAUUUCAGGGGAAGUCUUGGAUCCAAAUAUCCCUUAGGGCUUUAUGAAAUUCUGUUUCCUGUUGACACAAGGUAUUUAUCUUGUUUACUGUGUACCUGUACGAAGUGUUAUGUGGUAUGUAUAACCAUAGCCAUUAGCAUCCUUUAAAGGAAUAACAAGUCAUAGAAGUAAAGACAUUAUUAUACUUAUAAUCCCCUUAAGUGUAUGAACUCAUUUAAUUCUCAUAAUAUAUCUAGGAGGUAUAUCUAUGGUUUUCAGCACCAUUAUAAAAAUUAGGAGGCUUGAUGAUCGACAGGCUAAAUAAUCAGCCCAGAAUCAUGGUUAGUAACGAUCAGACAAAAGGGAUUUGAACCAGGGUAGUCUCAUUCCAGCUUCUGUGUUCUUACCUACCAUGCCAUGCUGACUCUAAACUACUAAUCCAUUCAUACUGUGUCAGUAAUCAGGGCUUGGAAUAAACCUUUAGGGUAAUAUUAUUUUAAGGCCUAGAUCUUACCAGUACAAUAAUGAUCUGCUCAACCUCAAAUCUAAUCUAGCCUUGGGGUAGGCAACUGAAUACAAGACUUUCCAGAAAGGACUACUCUAACUUAUUCUUUGUUUACAUGGAAUGUUCUAACUAAUUCUUUGUUUACAAUUUUUAAUGCAAUGCAUACUUAACCUGUAAAAUCCAUGGCCUUUCACUAAAACCAUGCAUCCAUGUAUUCACGUAAAGUUACUGAUGAUUCAGUGAAAAAUCAUUUUGCUUUCAUAUAUGUAUUAGUCUACUGGUUAGGGGGAAUUUAAACACGUAAAUAGUUAAUAUAGUGCUUCAGUAUGACUGAUAACAUUUAUAAAAUAUGGCAACAAGGAAGAAGGAUUUUGUGGUGUAGAUAAUGGGGUUAAUACAGACUGUGAAUUGGGGUAAGGAUAUCUACAUGGAGAACUAGGUUCUUGAAUUAAAGUCUUGAAGGGUUGAUGAAAAGUAUGUAGCCAGAGAGUCAUGUGAAGACGCUCUAGGAAGACGAAGCAGCUUGUUCCAAGAUUUGAAGGUAUGACAGAGCAUGAUGUCCAUGAAAUACGACAUAGCUGGAGUGAGAUGUCAAAGGGAUGAGAGGUGGGACUAAAAGAAUGAGUAGGGAUCAGACCAUGAAGGACCACUGGGUCCCCUAUUCUGUAAGUAAAAGCAAAUCAUGAGAGAUUAAUAACAAUUGUGGGCUUAUUUGACUUUUGUUUUCAAAAAUGAGCUCAGAAUUCAAUGGCCUGAAUGAGGGUAAAACCAAAGGGGAAAAAAAGCUGUGAAGGGAUCUUAAGGCAUAGUGAUAGACACUACACUAUAAUUUUAAUACUCAGAACAAUCCUAUGUACAAGACACUAUUUCCAUUAAGGAGAUUAAACAAAGCCAAACAAAAUUGAGAACUGUUGAGUAACUUGCCCACGAUCUAAGGCAAGUAAAUGACAGCUGUUUUACUUUCACAUUAGACUCCAAUCCUGCCCACUUCCUUCUAUAUCAUGCUGUCUCCUAUUUCAGUGUCUUAACAAAAAGUCAACACUCCUAGUCUCCAGUUAGAAUUAUUCAAAACUUCCCUCUGCUCUCCAGAUUCUCUUCCCAACCCUCUGACCAUGCCUGUACAGUCUCUUCUGCUGUACACCUUCAGCCUUCCUCUCUCAAUGGUUCCUGUUUCUCAAAGUUCUCUCCUGAGUCCUCUAACCUCUCCUUUUUUGUAUCAUGCACAUCUCUCCUUGACAAAAUCUCUUCUUUUGCAGUAAUCCUAUCCAUUUCAUUCAUCCCAUGCAAGAACCCUGCCCCCUUAACUCCUCUAAUUCUCAACACUGAGAGUGUCCCCAUGUCCUGUUGUUACUAUCUUAUAGUAUAAACAAGUCUCCUAUGGCAAGUCCGGUAAAAUGAUCAUUGUGUCCUGCCUAUACUGUUGAAAGAGCAAUUUGAAUAGUUUUUACAUUGGGCUAUCAGGUUGACAUUUCUGGGCAGAAGUUGGACUCUACUACUCCCUUGCUUAAAUCUUUUCAUUGGCUCCCUAUUAAAAAUAAAACAAAUUGUAAUUUUCCAAGAAUGCUCAAUGAGUACCCCUAAAUUGGGCCACCAGUUUUCACGUCAAACCUUAUUUCCCAUUGCUUGGCAUACUGCUGGCUGCGAGGAAGUACUCAACACACAUCUCUUGGGCAAAUGAAUGAGUGAAUUUAACUCACGUAAACUGAUAAAUUUUUAAAAAUUAGAGCUAUAUAUAGUCUAAAAUAACAACUUCAUUUUUUAUUUCAGUUUAGCUAUCCCAAGGUAUCUGGUCAUACUAAAAAUAUUUAUAAACAGACAAAGCAUUGGCACUGAACAGUCAGAAUGGGCAUGGGCUAUGAAUCACUAUACAUGUACACUGAAAGGCCCCUGAGUUGAAUGUGCUUUCAUUUACACCAGGCAGAAAUGCUUCUGCACAAAGUUCUCUGACUUUGAAGACCUUUCUAUUGGCUUAUUCUGGUUCCAGUAAGUUUCCUCUCUGAAGCAGCUGGAUGACCCAUAGUAUAGAAGUAGCAUUCACAGGUGGGGUCCAGGACUUUAAGAAAACAGUCCCUGUGGUCCUGGUAGAUGUGACUCAGAGAAGCAUACCGCCUCCACAUUUGCCCUGCUCUCCUCUCAAAAGCCCUAUCGGAAGACCUUUGAGAGUAUGUGCAUGCACAGUGCCCCUCCUCUUGAGCCAUUAGCUUUCCAAGAAUUUUUCAGUCCCAUGACAACUGUCUACUUCUCUCACUUUUUUACCUUUUUCUGUUAGUUAUAAGUGUCUUUCCUCUCCCAAUACCUUUUACUCUUCUUCCUCCAUCUUUCUUUUCUGCCACGAGCCACACCCACUUUCUUAAUUGAAUAAAAUCAGAACCUGUUAUAUAUUUAAGAUACUCAUUAAAACAUUUUACUAACCAAGAAUCAAAUUAAUGAUUUGUGAUUUUUUUUUUGCUUUUAUGAUUUAUUUUUCAAAACAAAGUUAAGCCAAUGCAAAAAAUGUUGUUUGUUACCUGGAUAAAACCUUGAAUACAUCCAUUUUUUGUUCUAAUGGGGCAAUGGUUUAUUACAACUCAAAAACAUUCUGCUAUGAUCAGACUGCUUAAGCAAACAACAGCAAAAGCAAGUGAGAAGCUGGUAUUAAGAAGAAGGAGGAGGAGAAGGGAAGAGAAGGCAAAUGAGAAAGAGGAGAUUCCACAGACCAAAAGUUUAAAAGGAAGGAAAAAAAAGGACCUAUACACAUAAAUAAGAAGCCUGUGAUGACUGCAACCUUUUUCUGAUUCAGUCUUUCCCUUCUAGACAUUGGUGAAAUGCCUAUCUAGCCAAAGGAAGACUAGCCAGAAGAGGGGAAAUCACAUCUGGUUUCUGAUGAAACAUGUGUUUGAGGAUCCUCUAUGUACUAAAUCUUGUUCUAGGAAGGUGAGAAUCUUAUAAGAAUAAUGUGUAUCAGUGAUCAUCUGUGUUUCUUGUCAGGUUUAAAGCAAUUUCUUUUGAGGAGAAUAUUAUUUUACUUUGUCAGCCACCCUUGUAAGUUGCUUUGUGUGCCACCAAAAUGAAAAGCAAAGAGUAGGCAAAAGGUAAAAUAAUAAAAUCAUGCACAUAAAUCUCAUCAAGAUUUGUCUUCGAUUUACUGUGGAGAGAAGGUUCAGCCCUCUUAUUGUAUGUGCAUCUGUUUCCUUAUCCCCAAAAGGCAUUAGUGGAACAAACCCCUACUGUACCUGGUGGAAGUAAUGCACAGCAGCAACUUCCCUUGUGCGGCUGGAUAUUAAUGCUAAUGUACGGGAGUUAAAUAUAGCACAAAGCUAGUGUGUUGGAAAGAAAAAACAAAGCAAAUAACAUCACACUACAAGGGGUGGGAUGGGGGAGGCGAGGAGAUGAUUAUACCCUUAAGCCCCAGGAUAAACUGCAACAGUGGUAAACUGAUAAGAGGAGAAUACAACUAGUAUACAGAACUCAGUCAUGCUGACCUAAUAUCCUCAGUGGCAAAGAAAACCCAAGAAUGUUGCCUAGAUGAGUGUGGAUGAGAGAGUAUGGAAAAGUGACAGAAAGCUUUGGUGAUGUUUAUUAAUGAGUGAAUUCAAUAAGAAAAAUGGGACUAAGUUUUCUAGUUUCCCCUGACUUCUAACCGGAGACUGUAUUAGAUCAAAUACCAUUGGAGUUAGUAGAAACAUGUGAAUCCUACAUGGUUCCCAUUGCCUAACUGUUAGAAACCACCUUGAAAAAAUCUGGAAAAAAUGCUUCAUGGGUAAUGGCUUCGAUGAAGGAGUUUUGUUCUGAGAAAGUGAUCCAAGGUCAUGAGAAUUUUGACUACAGCUAUAGAAAUUUUGGUUUCAGCAUGUGCUGUAUCUUUCUCAUGACAAUGUGAAGUAUUGGUAAAAGUACUAGAUGUGGAGUUGGGGCAACUGCAUUUAAGUGAGUCUUUCCCUAUAUCAAAUAUAUGUAAUAUUGAAAAAGUAGAAAUCUCAGCAUGUUGUGAUUAUGUUUAUUUUUUCAUUUCUAACCUGAGAUGAUUUAAUCAGAUGACCGCGACUGUUCUAUCUGGUUCUGACAUGCUACAUUCUCAGUGGGCUAUGCCCAGCUGUGCUGUGAGGCCUGAGGUAAAGGAGCCUCCCCUUCCUUAGGGCAUUAGACACUUCCUUUUGGGGAAGAUCCUUCUUUUUCUACCAGAACAACUGACUUCAUAACUGAGCAUUCUGAAUGGCUCCUGUCUCUUUAGUUAAGGGAUAUGUCCCCAGGGCUUAGCAUAGCCAUGGAUUGGCACUAGGUACUCAGAAAAUCUUUGGUGAGUGAGUGAAGUACCUGUCUCCAAGGAAACUGAUCCUUAAAUGGGACUUAAGGAACACUCCUUUCAGGGCAUAGGAUACUGAUUGUAACUGGGGUUAAAGCAAGGACUCUGUUCAAAUCUCCACUUUAUCACUUACUGUUUGGCUGACCACAGGCAAAUUACUUAAUCUCUCUAAGCUAAUCCUCUUACAGUGAAAGUAGGGUUAGAAUUGUGUUUCCCUAAUAGGGAUAUUGUGAGAUAUAAGCCAGUAUUGCAUUAUUAGCACAGUGACUAGUAAAUACUGAGUAAUCCAUAAACAUUAACUAUACUUAGGUCAGGUCUAAGUUCUGAGCACACAAAUGGUGGGGAGACUUCUUUCAAAAUCAUAGUAGAGACAGGUGUAUUUUGUUAAGAGUUAGCUAAUAGUUAUUCAACAAAAAUGAAACAGAUUUUAAAAACUAAAUUCUCUAUGAAGCUGGAUUGUGUUGUGUGGUAAGGGGAUCUAGGGAGGUGUAUUUAAAAGGGAGAUUAAGAGUGAAGAAGAAAUAAGCUGGUUGCCAGAUAUUAUCUAGAGAAAAGUAAAUUUGGCAGACAGAAUACACAGGAUCCAGAUUAGAUACUGUGAUUUGACCUGGGCUUUUGCUGGACAUAUUAAAACAACAUCAUCUAAGGGAAGAGGGGUGGUGAGCUUGAAUCACAGUCUAUUCACUAGGGCCAGGGUGCAUGAGCAUCUGGCUAAGGUGAAGGCAAAGUGCCCAGAGGAAAUUGUCGAAGCUCAUAUUGGAUCCCAGCAAAUAUGAGAGCCAGAAGCGAUGGUGAUGAAGUUCAGGAACAUGCACAGCAUUUUCUGACACAGCUGCAUUUGGGUUUGCAGAUAACACCCCCCACCCCCACUCCAUGUAGGGCAGGAUGAGAACAGAUAGUAACUAAGGGGUAGGAAGCAGGGCAUUAGCAAAAGCUGGGGCAGAACCAUAAAAAAAGUGAGGUUGGAAUGCAGGGAUGGGCCCAAGCCCUAUAAUAAAAUUAGGUGAGCGCCUCAGCCCUGCUCCAAGGCAGAUGCUGAGGCUUCCUGUUUGAGUUAAAAUAGCAGGAAAGGGAAUGGAGAAUUAGGGAGGGAGCUCUUUAGGGACUUCAGGGCCACCCAAGUUUUAUUCUGCUCAUGGGUGAAAUAUCUGGUAGGCAUCAGAAAUUAAUUCCAAGUUGCACCAUGUGAAAUUGACAGUACCCAUAUGUAUUCUGAUUUCAUAUCAUUGGUUCAGAAAAGUUAAGCUGGCUAUAGAGACCAAUGAUAAAGAAACUUGGCAGGGGCUGACACCAGUGCCGUAAGAGUAGAAAUAAAAGCAAAGAGAAGAAUCAGGAGAAGAAACUAAAGCUAAGCAACAUUGACCACAAAAAAGAAAACUACAUUUUUUUUUAAAUGAGUAAAAGACUUAUUUCUCAGAUCCAAGAAGGCUUAUCUGAGGCAAAACUGGCUGAUGCAGUAGCUGUGAAGAAUUUCCAUGUUUUCAAAGGAGUUGGAAUUGAGGCCUGCAGAGAAAAAUAAAUAAGCCACACUUCCUUUCUCCAUCCACUUCUCUUGGUGACCUAACAGGCUAGAAAGAGCGAUUGUAUUAAAACAGGAUGGGCGGGGACUACUGUUAUCUCAAGAAUCCCUGGGUCAGUGCUCUAAGAGAUAUCUGAAAAAGCAAGUUGCUAUCAAGAAUUACCUGAGGCAAACUGCUCGAGGCUAAAAAGCAAUAGCAAGCAUUUUAAGAUAAGAGAAGAUACAGUUUACAGUCAAUGUAAAUAGCCCAUAGGCAUAUCACAGCCUCCUGCAAGCUAAAGAUCUGCCUAGCAAUUACCGUAGGAGAGAUUCUGAACGUCAAGUAGCACAGUCUGGGAACGUCCCCACCAAGAAAUAUAAAGAAGGGAAAGACCUUGUAGUCUGGGGUUCAGGCCUUGUAGUAGAAACCUCACAGAAUGUCAUGGGAAGGUAAACAGACUGUGAAAAUCCAGAUAGGUUAUUCCCUCUGGUUGCUGUUUCACACCAAGUUUAGCCAUUUCACUAAGCGUUAAUUCUUCGAUCUGAUCUUUAUUCUUCCCCAUUUUGGAACUUUACAGACAUCUGUAUUAUCAGUUAGAAUUUGAUAUAGGGAAAUGUAUUCAUUACUUCCUGUUCUUCUUGCCUUUCCGCGUGACCUCAGGUACUCUUAGAUGCCCACAGCUGGUUCAAUUCAUGAGGUAUGAGUGACACAUGAGCCAUUCCGUGUUUCCAUUACAGUUCAGCUUUUUUCCUUGUGUGCUGCUCACAGGGAAUUAUCCCUCAGGAACCAACUUUUCAACAUUUUGCAUGAUAGGCUUUAGGGGGCUGACAUGCAAGAAUGGAGGAGUCAUAAAGCCUGCAUUUGAGAGAUUGGUGGAAAAAGCUUAAAAAUUAUCUAGUAAGUGAUAAUGUUGGAACACCAUUAUGAAUUAAAAUAGAACAUUAACUACUAUAACCAUCCUCAUAUAUAACCAUCCUCAAAUUUGUUAAAUCUGACUGCAAUCAAGUACAAACCAGCAGUAGUUUUAAUACUUUCCUGCUCAUCAUGUUUGAGGAAGUGCCCAAGAGCACCCUAUGUUCUUUCAAGUUGGUCCUUUGUCUCUGGUAUGAGUUACAGUGAUGAAUUAGGUAUUCUUUUAGUAAAUAUUAGACACAGCCUAGUGCAGGUAAAUUGUCUUCAAGAUAUAGAACAAUCUAAAAAUUGAUUAAGACCUGGAAACCAUUUUUGUUUUAAAUUACACUCCUUUAUUUUGUACAGAUUUACAAACUGUUAUUUAUUUACUCACUAAUCAAUUUAAACAGUUUCAUAGGAAUAACACAAUUAAAAUAAUUUGAAAAUGGAAUCAUUUAAAGUGUACUGAGUAUGUUAUUUAAUUACUAUCUAUUAUAACAGCCUUUUCUAAGCACCAUAGGAAAUUUUCAGAGUGCAGUCAGGGGAUAUGACUGGACCAUGCAAAGGAUUGAUGUGAUUUGAAUAAAGAAUAGAGAAUAAAACAUUUGUUUGGCUUAAAUUGGGCAACUUGAUUUAAGAAGCACCAGAACAAUACACAAAACUGCAUAUGCCAUCCAGCCCUGUCAAGAAAUACUAUUCCAAUGCUGCGGGGCUGUGCCAAUUCAUUCGGAAUGCCAUCUUCAGCCUGCCUCAUAUGGCAAGUCAGUAAAGAGUCAAAACCAUUUCCAGUUUCCUUUAAUCCCUCGGAGGUGGAUACAGGAGGCCAGUCUGCCUUUUUCACAUUGCUGGGAAAUAAAGCAGAAAGCACAAGUUUUCCUGGCUUCUUCUAACUUUACAGUGCUCAGCAGCCAUACAGAGCAAGUAAUCCUCUAAUAUAUGCUGAUUUUAUUGAGGUUUACAAAUAUUCAUACUCCAAUUCUUUUUGAAAUAAAGUAAGACAAUGAGUAAUAAAUAGAAACUUCAGAAUAGGCAAGACUAAUUCUAUUUUGAUGCCACAGUACUUUUUUUUUUUUGCUCAUGUUUAGGUCAGGCAGCCAUCAUUGAACGGUUAUAGUCGGUUCUUGUCAGCUACUUGCCUACUUCAACACUAGGGAUCCUGGAAACUAUUUAACAAUAUGAUAGAGUCUUAUAUUCCACCUUGAAGGGUCUUAUCCACGUGACCUUUGGGAUAUUAGUAGUAGGAAGUACAUUUAUUUCUCUCAGUUUGUUCACUAGUGACCAGAAUAAAAAAUCUUAGUAGGUAGCACAACUAAAUUCAAUGCCAAAAUAGAAAUGAAUAACGUUUGAUUUUUGCUAGCACUGAGGCAGUUCAGCCAGAAAGCUAGAGCAUGCUCAGCUUCUUCUUUCUAAUCUCCUGAAUUUAAUUAAUCACCAACCCUCCUGUACUUUGUUUUCUAAAUUGUUCUUUAUCCUCUUCCCUCCUCUCCAUCAUCAACACCAUUACCUUACCAUUUUUUCUGGAAUGCGAUUUUUGCCUUUUAGUUGGUGAACCUGCUUCUUUGUUCACAGGAAUUCAAAUCAGAUGACACAUUAUUGAGAGUGCUGUUUUUCUAACAUUCUUAUCAGAUAGCAUUAACCACCUUGAUUAAAAACAAACUAUAAUGACAACAACAAACCCAGGACCAAACUCCAGUGGCUUUCUGUCACUGGAAUGACAAAGUCCAGUUCUGAACGGGGUUUUCAAUACAUUCACAUUUUGGCCCCUACCUAUCUUGCAGGCUUCAUCUUCUGCCAUACUCCUCCGUGCCUCUAGUACAUUAGCCAGACCAAACUAUUUGUUCUCUACACCUGCUAUGGAUUCUGUGUGACUUGUUUGCCUUCUCCCUCAUCCAUCUUCUCCCUUAUGCAUGUUGCAAACUCAUCUUUCAAUUUUUUGCUCAAAAGUUACAUUUUUAUAAAACUUUUCUAGAAAGCUCUUACCUCCUAGAUGAGCUUAAAAGAUGCUUGUUCUAUAUGUUCCAAGCACAUUGCACAUUUCUCUGUAAUAUAAUUUUCUGACAUUGCAUUGCUAUAUUCCCUUUACAUCAUGAUGGGUUGAAAGGUCAUAGUCCCUGCUUCUUUCCUAUUUGAGUCAUUAGCAGCUGACAUAGUGUCUGAUACUACUGUCAACAAGUACUUGUAGAAUUGAUGGAUAUAUGAACAUACUGGUUUGUUUUCCAGUUAUAACUGAUACAUGGACAUUUUUCUAAUAUAGUCUUUUUCAAAUGAGUUCUUAAGGGAUCUACUGUCCUAUGAAAGUUGUUUGGGGUCUGGGCUGCAGGAAAUAAGAUAGGAAAACUCAAAAAGAGAGGUUCUGGGUUUCCAACCCUGCUUGAUCAGAGUGGCUCCUCUGUUACUUGUCUCUUAUCUCAGGGGUUAACAUACAUAAGACUUUAUGUCAAGAAGUUUCUACUUCCCAAAGAAGUUUGAAAACCACUGUAAAUGAUGUGGUCCUUGUCAGCUCUGAGGUCAUCUCUGCCCUCAUAGCAAAACUAGAAAAAAUAGCCAUUUCUAGCCAAAUAUUUAAAUGCUAUUUCGUUGUCAGAAAUUUUGUGCUUGGAGGAUUUAUGUAGCUUUCCAGUCAAGUCAUUGAAAAGUACUUUGAGAAUUCCCCAUUAAAAUAUCUUCUUUCUAAGAUGCUUUGGUGAGGACAGUUAAAAGUUGAAAGUUGAAGCUAGAAGCUUUGGACUUGUGACUCUUCUUCACCACCAAGCUCUACUAUUUUCAGUAUACCAUUUACAAUCUCUGAAUCUCAGCUUCAUCACCUGUUAAAAAUUGAAAAGGAAGAAUAUCUCUAUUUACCUAGUAGAGAUAACAUCUAUAAAGAUAGCUUCUAAACCAUAUGGCACUAGGAUAAUACAUGGUCAAAAAAAUCCAAAUUGUUUUCUUCUUCACGUAGCUGGAUUAUAUUUCUUGCCUCUGUUUCAGUGUUAUCUGAAUAACAUUCACUAGUAAAUUAGGAAUAGACUGCCGCAUGUUAUUUCUGGGCCAAGGAUUUUAGAAAGGAAAUAUGCUCCUUCCAUUCAUUUUCCCUCAUAUUUCCAUCUAGAUGCAGGUAAUUAUAGGAUGUUAAUGAGAGGUGAAGCAAUAAGAUUAAAAUCCCCAGGCCCCUGAAUUACUGUGUAGAGGAGAGCUGCCUGUCAACCAAGAGUAUUCUCUUUGAAAUGUUAUGUAAGCGAGGGAAAACUUCAUUUAUGUUUGAGCAGUUACAUAGUAUUGAAUCUAUUUGCUACUGUAGCUGUUCCUGUCCAAAUGAAUUAGGGUGCUUUACAGUCAUAAGAUGCUGUUGUUUGUAUGAUCACGUCAUGUUCCUGUCAAUCAUCACUAUCCCAUGUGAUCUACUUGGUGAAGGAGGCUAUCAAUGGUAGAGAAGCCAGGUUUGAGUUUUCUCCUACAGUCUCAUUAACAUGUUUCUGUCACAAGUCUGUGACAAUGUUGAUUUAUUUUGAGUGUCCAGGGUCACUUCUAACUGAAACUUCAUUUUUGUAAGAGUUAGAAAAAGGUGCUUCUCCUAGAGGAGGCAGAGCUUUCCUAUUGAAGGGAGUUCAAGAAACAGGCAGUCCUCCUUGGCAGAUUCAGGGUAGAUUGAUUAGAAAAAAAUCUUCCCCUGUAUGGUGAUACAGCCAGCCUUACAUGGCUUCACAGAUACAGGAUAGGCUAUGAAUGCUUCCAUAUUCAGAAAAGAAAGAACGUAUGAACAUUCCAUUUAGAAGGAAGAAUGUGGACAAAAAAAUAUUAAGGUGCCAAAAUGUACAGCUAAUUAUCUGGUUGACCUAGGGCAUGAGGAUAGAGAUGAGAAUAAAAAGAUAGAUUGAAGCCUUAUCAUGAAAUCAUUGGAUGUCAUUAUGGGUAGUUUAGAUAUUAUUUUGGGCAAGGAGGAUCCAUGGUAGGAUUCUAACAGAGACGCUUUAUAAACUGUAUGAAAAAUGUUUUGAUGGGAGUAGCCUAGAUGCACAAUGAGUUAUUGGAAUUAUUUGGGCAAGGAGUAAAGAGAAUCUGAGUUAAGACAGUGACAGUAUGAAGACAAAGAAGAAUAUAGAUUUUGGAACAAGAUUUGAAUACUUUCAGAUGUAAGAAAAAAGAAUAUGUGGAAAAAAAUUAAGAAUAAGAUGUAGGGUCUGGGUACAUAGAAUAAAGUGAUAUUCUUAAUGAAGAUUGGAAUGCCAUGAAAAGGUAUACAUUCUUAUAGAAGAUGAGCUCAGUUUUGAACUCCUUGAGUUUGAUUGGAUCUAUAUGCAGACACAAGUUUUAUAUCCUGUGUCCAUUUUUACGUUGUAAAUAGGUAACACUUAAAAGAGUCUCACUCUAUUCCAGGCAUUACUUUAAGUGAUUUAAAUAUAUUAAUAAAUAUUCAAGAAGCCAUAAGAUAAUUAAUAAGAUAAUCCUAAUUUACAGGUAGUUGAUAUGUUUGAAGUUACACAGUUAGGAAGUGGCAGAAUGAAGAUUUUACCUCGGGAAUCACACUCAGAAAUUCAUGCUUUGAACUUGCAUGGUAUGAGGCUUCUUGUAAACUCUCUUGGGGAAAGGAAACUUCAGCAACAAAGAAAGAAAGUAGAAUAUAGACUGUGGAUGUUUAGGAAUCUUUAAGUGAUUUGUACAAAUCCAAGUUCUUCUAGUGGUUUUGUUUCUCCUUAGUUGAGCGUUCUGCAUCUUUGGAAGCUUCUAUACCAAUCCGUACUAUUUAACAGCUAGUAAUCCUUUUCCAGACAGAAAUGUGUUUCAGAAAAAAAUAUAUAAAAUUACAUGGGAAUGAGAGAAAAGGUGGGAUUUGGUAUUCGGUUCUGUCAUAGACAGAAGAGAUUUUCAAUCAUAAUGAUAUGUUAGUGCCCUGUGAAGAAAGCCAGAAUAUCUUGUCAGCCCGGACCCUCACAACCAGCCUUGUUCUUUAUGAUUGGUCUUUAGCCAGAGCAAAUUUUCCCAAGUGACAGCUGUCAACUGUCACAGGUUACAGAUUAAAGUGAUAAACUACUCAGAAUGGUGGAUAAAAAUACUACAAACUCAGAGAUUCUAAGCAGAAUCCUUUAUAACUAGAUUCUAAGCACUAAGAGUAGAUUUCCACUUUUCUCACAUCCAUUUCUUGGAACAAUUUUGACUUCACAGUAGUAUGAACAACUGGAAAUAGUUUGUUAAUGUUACUUUUCAGUUCCUCUGGUCCCUUUAACUGAAGUCUCUGCCCUUCCAUACCCAAUUCAGAGAUAAGAUGUUGCUAUGGUCUGAAUGUCUGCCUUCUUCUAAGAUUCACAUGUUGAAAUCUAAUCCUGAAUGCGUUGGUAUUAAGAGGUGGGGCCUUUGGGAGGUGAUUAGGUCAUGAAGGCAGAACCCUCGUGAAUGGGACUAAUGCCCUUAUAUAACAGGCCUGAAAAAGUUUGUUUGCCCUUUGCUCUUCUGCCGCAUAAAUAUGCACAGAAGGUACCAUCUAUGAGAAACAGACACUCACCAGACACUGAAUCUGAUGAUAAUUUGAUCUUGGACAUUCCGGCCUCAGAACCAUAAGCAAUAAAUUUCUGUUGUUUAUCAAUUACUCAUGCAAAGCCAUUUUGUUGUAACAGCCUAAAUAGACUUAGAGAUACGUGUGUGAUAAUAAUCCAAUUCUGUUAUGUUUUCUUCAUAUCCUAAGACAUUUUCAGUGAGAAAUGAUUGGCAAAUUAACAAAAGUAAACUGAUGCCUCUAAGGUUUGGUAUGUGAAGGUAUUCAGUAGGGAGGAUGAGUUGGGUAGUCACAUGCUCCAGUUUUCCCUGGGCAACCCUGAUUUACCUCUGAUGUUCCAGUGUUAUUAUCAGUAAGUUCCUCUUUCACACUCUGAAAAGCAUCAAGAGUCUUGGGAUAUAGAUCUAGCACCUUGAUUUUUAUAUUUGUUUGGGUAGAUAAGUGUGGCUAGUUAUUUGAAGGCAGCCUCAGAGCUUCCUGUAUAUAUAAACAGAAUGUAACAGCAGCUAAGAUACUCAUUACAAUACUCUAUAACUCUUCUCUACUCAUUUUUAUCAUAGCUUUAUCAAUAAUUUGAUUAUUGAAUGAUGAGCACCUGGAUUAUUUAACUAAAACUAGUAGAAAUAUAAACCUGAACAGAUGUUAUGUAAUAAUGACCUAUGAUAUCUGAAAAUUGUCUACCCCAACAUCCUAUCUCCUUUUCCUUCUUGGUAUAAGAACUCUGAAUUUAUUUUGGGGUGGCAAUGAGUCAAGCUAAUGACUGCGUUUCCUAGAGUAGCAAGAUUUGCAGCAAGACAUGCAAUGUGACUAAGUUCUGGUCAAAGCAGUAUAUUCAGGAGUGUGUGUUACAUGCUAUUUGGAUUGCAGUGGAAUGCCUAGAACUGAGGGAGCCAUCUUCAACCAUAAAUCAACACACCAAGUCAAUGUGUGUGUUGCAAGAAAAAAAGGAUGCUGGUUUUCUAAUGAUCUUGGAGCCAUGACAUUAGUUCUAGAUUGCCUGCUUCUGCAUAUCUUUCCUAUGAGAGGGAAGAAGACUCUUUCCUUUUUUUUUGAGAUGGAGUUUCGCUCUUGUUACCCAGGCUGGAGUGCAAUGGCACGAUCUCGGCUCACUGCAACCUCCGCCUCCUGGGUUUAGGCAAUUCUCCUGCCUCAGCCUCCUGAGUAGCUUGGGAUUACAGGCAUAUGCCACCAUGCCCAGCUAAUUUUUUGUAUUUUUAGUAGAGACGGGGUUUCACCAUGUUGACCAGGAUGGUCUCGAUCUCUUGACCUCAUGAUCCACUCGCCUCGGCCUCCCAAAGUGCUGGGAUGAUAGGCGUGAGCCACCGCGCCCGGCCCUCUUUUCUUGUUUAUACUACUGUUACUUUGCUUUUUGGUCACUUGCAAGCAAACAAUUCUAACUGACUCAGGAAGAAAACAUGAAAUUUUUAUAUAUAAACUUCAGAGUGGUUAGCAGGGAGCAUUGAAGAAAGUGGGAAUGUGCUGGAUGGGAAGGGAAGGGUACAGAAAGGAGAAAACUUCUUUUAAGUGUUCAUUGAACUUUUAAAAAGGCAACUUGCCAUUUGGUAGAAAUUCAGCUACUGAGAACAUCAAAUGUAUCUUAUUAGCAUUGAUGUGUUGCAAUUGUGAUGCUGCAAGUGUGAGCAGUAAAAUGCACUGAGUAUGUCAGAAGUAUCCUUAGCUUUCUUAGCUCGAUUAAAACAAAAAAAUAUCCAAAUGCCUGCACUUCACCUUGGAGUCCUGGAAUGUCUGGACAACUUUCUUUAAAGGAAGGCUUAUUAUAAAGUGGUAUAGUAUCAAUUGACUACAAAACGCUUUCACAACUUCCCAGAAGAGUUUCAGCUCAAUUCAGCACAAUAUGACCGAGUAUGACUACCCAUUACAAUAUGCUAGCACGUGAAUUCAUUAUAUGCAAUAUCUAAGCCCAUCAAUGUUGAGCUAAGCAUUUUGAUGGCCAGAGCUCAUAGAUCCAUCUUAAUACAAACUCUAAAGUUUGGGCUUUCAGGAAUACAUCAUGGACACAUUGCUUUACCUCUGUGGAAUCAGAGGGCUUACACUUGGGUAUCUAAGGGCUUGCUAGGAGUGGGAGCAGAUGGUAGUUUUUAUAUGUUCUUUUUAUAAAUUCAUUUUGAGCAGGUUUUUUUUUGCAUGAAUAUUUCAUUUAUGACAGGGUGCUGCUUAGUUAUAUAAAAAGUAAAUACAUAACGAGC
Callithrix jacchus (white-tufted-ear marmoset) is the source of this 20070-nucleotide long non-coding RNA. RefSeq lists it as uncharacterized. The record is from RefSeq and is a predicted model, not a curated record. NCBI's taxonomy places the organism in Eukaryota, Metazoa, Chordata, Mammalia, Primates, Cebidae.